AGAGCGUUAGUGCUCUGCAGAGAGCGAGGGAGAGCUGCAUACGAGGAGCCAUACGUCCACGGCCACUCUGACCACUCUGCUCUUUAACAUUACCCUGAAUGUUUGAUUAACAUGGAUUUAUGAAAGAGACACCUGCGUGGGUUUCGACUGUGUGGACCGCGCUGAGACGAAGGUGAGCUGAGAAGAAAAGGAGAAAGAAAGAGACUGCCACACUUCUGCUUAUAGAGGAUGUUUACUCGCUGCUAUAUGAGAUGCUAGGUGAAGUUCAGGAUGUUUUUUUUAAGCUUCAAUACAAACGGGCCUGCUGCCGUCGUGGUUUUUAGACUUUGAAGCGGAGUGGAGCCUACUUUAGUGUGCGCGCGCAGUUGUGUGCGUGUCUGUGUGUUGAGGGAGGGGGCUGGGUGGAGGGGAGUUACUGUAAGAAAAAAAAAUGGACGAGGAUUUAUCAUCCAGCUAUAGAGGGAGAGAAAAAAAAGAAAUGUAUGACACUUAUUUUCCUCUGAGUGAGUCUGAGCUGUUGAGUCAGACAUUCACCGUAAGUCAAACAGAAACGGUGACUAAAGGAGCUGCACUAUCAAACUACACUAUAGUUUUCUCUUUUUCUGCAUUUUCAGACAACACUUUCAAAUAGUUAUACUGCUCUAAUUUCUUUAAUAAUUAUAAAAGUGCGUGUUUCCUCGCGUUUAAAUACGAGAGUUCAUUUAAAGCCUUUAAAAUAACCUAUUGUAAAACAUCAGCGGCUGUUGUGAUAAUAACUAUAAUCACUCUAACUAUUGAGCUUCUAGUUGGAUGAAUUUAUGUACCGGGUUGUUUAAUAUUAUUAUUGUUAUUGCUGGUGCAAGAAAUCCAAAAGAUGUCACGAGUCUUUCCUCGUGUUGUAAAUAUAGAACCCCGAUCAUCUGGUCAUUCACGUGCACCAGCAGCUGGCAGGUGGUGGACAAUUUACACAACAAAAACAUUUUUUUAUUUGUAUUUUUUUGCCAUUAAUGUGUCCUCAAAAAUUUUCUUUUUAAUAAGUUUAAGGUUUGUCACACUCUACUUAACCCAUUAUUGGCUUUUGUAUCAUAUUUGAUUCAUACUUUUUUGAUACUUUAAUCAAUAUGAUCAACAAAUUACUUUAAAAAAAAAUUCCCGAAUACAUGAAAAUGAUAAAAAAAUGUCCUCUUGUAGUUCCAAAAACAACAAAUGUAUCAAACAAGAUAAAUAAACAUAUCUGUUAAAUUUUAAGGAAAUUUUGAUUUUUUUUUUUUUGGUUUUCAGUGGAAUAAACAUUUCAGCUCCAAAACAAUUUGAAUUUUCUGGCCAUAAUUUGUGGCCAGGAAAGGGUUAAACUUUUCUACUUUAAAUUUUUUUUUAAAUUUUUUUAAACUUGCAUCAAUGUUUUGAAGUCCAGUUCAGUUUAGAAAUAUGAAGUUUCACUGCUACUAUAUGCCUUCUGAAUAAUUUUAAUAAUUAAACACACUAUGGACACUAAAUUUUUAACAAUGUCUUUGAACGUCUACUCCUGAGUUCAGCCACGCAGAGCAGGUGCAGACAUUAUGCUGCUCGCUCCACAACUUGAAGUGAAUUUCCAGAUUUUCCACUUUGAGCCUCAGUGAGAAAUUAAAAAGCUCUCUAGUUGAUAAUCUGCCUUUUUCAGGCCCACACACGCAGUUUGAUCCACACCUUAUACAACACAUCAGGGCAGGGACAUUAAACUGAGGAGAAGCUGAGCGGCCGCAUGGAGAUCACAUCAGAGAGCAGAUCUGCAGGCGAGGAAACUGAUGCAGAAAAGACUAAACGGAAACAGAUACAGAGCGUUCCUCCUGCAGCCUGCUGAUUGUUGAAUACAUUUACAUUUUUAAUACUGUUUUUGGCUGGGGUUAGUACUUCAUAUGAUUCAUUAUGCAAAAAAUGUUAGACAAGUUGUGGUCCAAGAAAAAUUGUUGAAACAAGUCAAAAGCAGUCACUUUGCACUGUCGCCUUUCCUACGAUCAACAGAACUGUGGAAAAUCUUGAGUGUAAAUGUACAGCAAAAGAUCGGUGUUUCAAAAAACAAAACUGUUGCUAACGUUAACCUACCUUUAGUCUCACUCCCUUUAAUGAGGCAAAGCAGAAGUUUCAACAAACAAAACAGGCAAAACUUUUUCAAAAGGAUUAAAUUUGCUCUAAAUAUGAUUUAAAAGUUGUAAAUUAUAAAGUGUAAUAUUUGUAUAUUUAUGAGCAGCUGUGGAUACCUGUUGGGUGCACUGAUGUUUGAAGCCUCUGUGUGCAGGGGUGUUUUUUUUGUCUAUGUGACAGCACUAUAUGAAAUCAGGCAUCUAACUGUGAGUGCUUCAUCAGAAAAAGAGCUACAUUUAAUAAUUACACCAUCACUCACCUGUUUCUUGUAGGAAAAUAAUAAUGACAGUUUACACAGCCUCCUUUAAGAAGGGUUUUUAACCCAUUUUAGCAUGGAGAUUUAAACCUAUAUUAGAAACAAACCACUUGGUAAAAAUAAGAGUGUGUUGUUAAACCUUUGUACUUUUUUGUGCAUUACACUCUAAAUUUAGCCACAGAUGUUCACUUGAUGUUAGGAAUGGAGCUCGUCUGUUAAAUCAAAACCUAAAACCGUCAACAUGUAUAAUACAGGAGAGCAGGUGUUUCUGUCAACCCACUGCACACAAAGUUAAGUUUGAUGGGCUUUGAAAGUCAUAUUGGUCAUUUUUAUAAAAUAAAAAACAAUAAUUUAGUCUUUAUACUUUAAACACACCAAGACUAACAGUCCAAUUAUCUAUUACCUUUUAAAUAAACGUCUCUCUGUUUAGAGAAACAUCGAGAUGCAGGUUUUAAAAAUCAGUGUCACCUAACUUUGAGCUUUUGUCUGGAAAUCUGUAUGAAAAAUGAGAUAAAUAAAUGAUCUAAGUCAGAUUUAAAAAGCUGAAUCAUGUUUCAGAUAUUUGAAUAAAGUAGGACACAACAGAUGUAAUUGUGACCUUAAGCUGUUUGAGGGAAUGUUAACUGGACGCUUAAAUAAACUGGGUUGAAGGCUUGUGGACACACACUGUGUUUAAGUUGGCAAAUUACAGAUUUCAGCAGAAAAUGUGCAGCCCUGACAGGUCAGUGUUUCAUCAGAGUGUGAGAUGCACUGAUCAUACGGAGUGACGCCAUGACUGAAGCAUGUGAUCUGAGUGGAUCCAGACACGUCCUUUGAUACUCCAGUCAAAACGCAUGCACCUCAUGUUGAAACUCCUGUGUGUGAUGUGUGCCACCCAGGCUGCAGACAAGACAUAGAUCAGGGUGUUUUAGAGGAAUACACAAUGAUGUCACACACACACACAGGAAAAAGGGCUGAGGAAGGCUUGGCACCUUUCAGGAUUGGCCAGAUCCCUAUUGGCUCAGCAGAAACGCUGUAAUAAUAAACAGGCAAUCAGAAAGCGGCGUGAGCAUACACAAAGGCAACGCAAAAGUUUGCAGAUAAUAAAAGCAGAUUUUUCACCCGGAGGGAUGAUUAUUUGUGUUCUUCAGUUAUCCAUAAAUAGAGAGCCUCUCACAGGAAGUAUAAACACACAGACGAAGACGAGGGCGGUCGUAUGGUCCAACACAGUGAUUUCAAACAUUCCUGUUUAUGUUCAAUCAAGAUGGAGUGUAUAUAUAAAACUGUAGCCCCAGUUUGAGCAUGAAAUACAAAGGAUUAUUUUCUGAGGGAAGAGGGAAAAAGAGGACCUCAGCACAGACUGUUAGCUGUGUGAUGAGUGUGAACCACAUGCUGGUAGAGCUUAUAACACACACACACACACACACACACACACACACACACACACACACACACACACACACACACACACACACACACACACACACACACACACACACACACACACACACACACACACAUUACUCUUCAGUCUCAAAGUUUUCAAAUUCUCAUAAAUUUAAGAUGAAUUAUUUUUAUUUUAAGAAUGUGUUUAGGGUGAAAUAUGUCACCAUAAUAGCAUAAAUAAGGGACCUGGUUGUUUCCUGGGUGUGAAGAGAAUAAGAGCACAAUUUACCCCUUAUUGAAGCUUUCAGUGGAUCAUGAAGUCAUUGUGUAUAACUCAGGGGGGUUAAUUGGGCUCUAGUGAUGCAGCAUCCCUGUGUCUAUCCCUGAGGGGGUUUCACUCCUCCCCAGGUAUUAAUCCAAUUCCCUUCAUUAACCUGCAGCCCCAUCGGUUACACCAAUGCUGAAUACCAGGACUCUAAUGUCAGACUGAUAAAUGAUGUGUUGUUACCAAGAGUUACAAUGACUUCCUUGUUCCCUUUGAAGCCUCUUAAUUCUCAGAUUUAACACAUUUUAAGCAACAGAGCGGCAUCAUUUGGGCGCAGGAAACUCAAAUUUAACAACAAAAAACUUCACAACAAAUUAUUUAAUACUGGUAUGAGACGAUUAAUGCAGUAAACUGGAAAAUGCAUGUAAAUAUAGGGUUAAACAAGUUGAAUAUCCUGAGCUAGGGGCAUAACGUUCAACUAUGCAGUUAUGGAUGCCCAAUUUGGACAAAAUUAAUGCUCUUUUCACAGUGAGAAAUCCUGGAAAAGCCUCGCUCUUUUCCUGUCAGCGAAACUAAAGAGGUGAUUUGUUUCUACAGUUUUUCUAACAGGCGUACAAAAAAUUGUUUUCACUCUUUAAAAUGCCACAUUAAAACAAAACUGUUCUCUCAUCAAAUUUUGUUCCAGCACUCUGAUUUACAGAGCUGUCAAAUAUUACGAGUGAAACCUCCCACUUUGUUUAAUCUUUGGAUCAGGAAAGGUUAUUGUUGAAUUUCUUACAGUGCUUUGACAUUUUACUUUCAGGUUUAAGAAUUAGUUUCAUCACCUCUUCAGCAUACGUCACUGAGCAGUAAACUGGACGGGUUCUCUGUGUGUCUUUAGGGCGAGUUCUCACCUGGUGUGGAUGUUCUCUGUAAAGCUCCGACUCAUCGCGUAUUUCCUCUCAUCCCAGCAGGGGCGUUGGUGCAGGACGCUGACUCUUCACAAGUGCGGCGUCAGGAUCACUCAGUCCAAAGACGGAGGAGACACCUGGUCAGAUGAGGGACACACUAAUAUGAGGAACAAGAGUAAUAAUGUGAGAAAUAAUUGUGUUUACAUAUGAAGCAUCUUGAUAGAGAAGCUGAGCUAAAAAAAAAAAAGGUGUUUUAUUGCUGACUACUGAUGUGUAUUUUGUCAGAUGCAUUGAAUUCCAGUGUUAACUAGUGCUGUCAUUGGGAUGUAUUUACACACUGCCCAAAACAAUUAAUGACCAAGUAGUUAAAGUGUUUUGACAUUACUGGUACAAGGUUGUUUUCACUGACUGCACUUCACUUUUAUGACAGCAGACUGCAAGUUUUGCAAAGAAUUCCCAAAAUUCACACUUCAAAUGCUUUUUUAAUACCUUUUUAUCUUUAAAGAUAAACUUGAAAACCAGAGCUAUUUAAGAAGCUCCUGAUAAUCUGCGUGUUAGACGGCAUAAAUCUCCUCUUAUCUCCUUUAUCUGCAUGUCAUCAGGGUGCUGGCUCGUCCUCCACAGCAGAGGGCCGGCUCUUUGUGGCCUCAGUGCUAAAUCAAGUUCAAAGAGGACCACUGGUGUUUGGCAGAUAGUUUUACUCCAGGGCAGAGGGAGAACGGAGUGUUUGGUUGACCUCUGAGUCUGUCCUUUGAUUUCCAGAUCUGAGUGACCCCUGACAGAGCAGAGCGACGAUACUGCAAACUUCAUUCAGGCACAGUGCUCUGGGAGAUAACUGACCAAACUUCCAAUCUUGUCACUUAACCAAUGGAUAGCUUUCAAUCUUUUACUGUAAUGUUUUAAUGAUUGCUUUGGCAAAACAAAACCCAUAAAAAAACAUUAGUAGUUCUUGAUUUUUGAAGACAAGCCAAUGCACUCAAGAGCAGUUUUAUCAGGGUUCAGGAAUGCCAAUUUCACUGAUCAUGGACAGACAGACUGAAUGAGAAGAUUAUAUUUUGCAUUAAAUUUCAAAGAUUUUGCUCAAAGGUUUCCAUUUAAACCAGCUGCAUCACUCUUGCAUGACUGUGUAAAACGCUUCAGAAAGAGGGUGUCGUUUGUUGUUGGUGUGUAACUUUUGUUUUCAUUCAAAUCAUAUAAUGAAGACAAUAAAACUUCAACCACUGAUGCAAUAAUUC
RNAcentral lists this long non-coding RNA (6111 nucleotides) under Xyrichtys novacula (pearly razorfish). The record is from RNAcentral. Lineage: Eukaryota; Metazoa; Chordata; Actinopteri; Labriformes; Labridae.